GCGGGGCUGCGGGAUGCGGCAGGUUAUACGUAUUCCCCGGGGCCUUAACGAUCCUUAGGGAGCUGUACCUAUCCGGACUCGUGGGUCCGGGUACACGGCGCCCACCUACUUAUGUAGGUUCCCGGGAUCGACACUCCACCGGUCUUCGCGGCUCCGCA
Molecule: non-coding RNA, 158 nt
Filed under: Beijerinckiaceae bacterium
Lineage: Bacteria; Pseudomonadati; Pseudomonadota; Alphaproteobacteria; Hyphomicrobiales; Beijerinckiaceae
Description: 6S RNA
Rfam family: 6S / SsrS RNA
About the family: E. coli 6S RNA was the first non coding RNA to be sequenced, but its function was unknown until recently. It consists of 184 nucleotides that fold into an extended hairpin structure with a large single-stranded internal bulge.
Source: RNAcentral